AGCUUGCUCUUCUUGGAUGAGUUGCGAACGGGUGAGUAACGCGUAGGUAACCUGCCUUGUAGCGGGGGAUAACUAUUGGAAACGAUAGCUAAUACCGCAUAACAAUGGGUGACUCAUGUCAUUUAUUUGAAAGGGGCAAAUGCUCCACUACAAGAUGGACCUGCGUUGUAUUAGCUAGUAGGUGAGGUAACGGCUCACCUAGGCGACGAUACAUAGCCGACCUGAGAGGGUGAUCGGCCACACUGGGACUGAGACACGGCCCAGACUCCUACGGGAGGCAGCAGUAGGGAAUCUUCGGCAACGGGGGCAACCCUGACCGAGCAACGCCGCGUGAGUGAAGAAGGUUUUCGGAUCGUAAAGCUCUGUUGUAAGUCAAGAACGAGUGUGAGAGUGGAAAGUUCACACUGUGACGGUAGCUUACCAGAAAGGGACGGCUAACUACGUGCCAGCAGCCGCGGUAAUACGUAGGUCCCGAGCGUUGUCCGGAUUUAUUGGGCGUAAAGCGAGCGCAGGCGGUUUGAUAAGUCUGAAGUUAAAGGCUGUGGCUCAACCAUAGUUCGCUUUGGAAACUGUCAAACUUGAGUGCAGAAGGGGAGAGUGGAAUUCCAUGUGUAGCGGUGAAAUGCGUAGAUAUAUGGAGGAAC
This 644-nucleotide ribosomal RNA is filed under the name uncultured Bacilli bacterium. Its description in RNAcentral is "bacterial SSU rRNA". It matches the Rfam family "Bacterial small subunit ribosomal RNA", at positions 77 to 707 of the family's 1533-position model. The record is from RNAcentral. Lineage: Bacteria; Bacillati; Bacillota; Bacilli.